This 1118-nucleotide ribosomal RNA is filed under the name Pseudobdellovibrionaceae bacterium. RNAcentral describes it as "bacterial SSU rRNA". It matches the Rfam family "Bacterial small subunit ribosomal RNA", at positions 1 to 1146 of the family's 1533-position model. Lineage: Bacteria; Pseudomonadati; Bdellovibrionota; Bdellovibrionia; Bdellovibrionales; Pseudobdellovibrionaceae. The record is from RNAcentral.
AAACUGGAGAGUUUGAUUCUGGCUCAGAACAAACGCUGGCGGCGUGCCUAAUACAUGCAAGUCGAACGAUGUAGCAAUACAUAGUGGCGCACGGGUGAGUAACACGUGGGUAAUCUGCCUUGGAGUGGGGGAUAACUAGUCGAAAGAUUAGCUAAUACCGCAUAAGACCACAGGAACUGAGGUUCUAGGGGUCAAAGGUUUUUCGCUCUAAGAUGAGCCCGCGUAAGAUUAGCUAGUUGGUAGGGUAAUGGCCUACCAAGGCGACGAUCUUUAACUGGUCUGAGAGGAUGAUCAGUCACACUGGAACUGAGACACGGUCCAGACUCCUACGGGAGGCAGCAGUAGGGAAUAUUGCGCAAUGGGCGAAAGCCUGACGCAGCGACGCCGCGUGAGUGAUGAAGGACUUCGGUUCGUAAAGCUCUGUUGCAAGGGAAAAAGAAAGUGAUUGUACCUUGUGAGGAAGGGUCGGCUAACUUCGUGCCAGCAGCCGCGGUAAGACGAGGGACCCUAGCGUUGUUCGGAAUCAUUGGGCGUAAAGCGGGUGUAGGUGGCUCUCUAAGUCAGGUGUGAAAGCCCUGGGCUCAACCCAGGAAGUGCAUUUGAUACUGGAGAGCUUGAGUGCUGGAGAGGCUAUUAGAAUUCCAGGUGUAGUGGUGAAAUACGUAGAUAUCUGGAGGAAUACCGGAGGCGAAGGCGGAUAGCUGGCCAGACACUGACACUCAGACCCGAAAGUGCGGGGAUCAAACAGGAUUAGAUACCCUGGUAGUCCGCACCAUAAACGAUGGAUACUUGUUGUUGGAGGUAUUGACCCCUUCAGUGACGUAGCUAACGCGUUAAGUAUCCCGCCUGGGGAGUACGGUCGCAAGAUUAAAACUCAAAGAAAUUGACGGGGGCCCGCACAAGCGGUGGAGUAUGUGGUUUAAUUCGAUGCAACGCGCAAAACCUUACCUGGGCUUGACAUGGACCGGAAGAUUGGCAGAAACGCCGUCGCCCGCAAGGGUCGGUUCACAGGUGCUGCAUGGCUGUCGUCAGCUCGUGUCGUGAGAUGUUGGGUUAAGUCCCGCAACGAGCGCAACCCUUGUCUUUAGUUGCCAGCAUUUAGUUGGGCACUCUAGAGA